GCUGGGCUGGGGCUCAGUGGUAAAGCGCUCGCCUGGCAUGCAAGAGGCACUGAGUUCAAUGAUGGUGCACACCU
RNAcentral lists this transfer RNA (74 nucleotides) under Marmota monax (woodchuck). RNAcentral describes it as "tRNA.Ala". The record is from RNAcentral. Lineage: Eukaryota; Metazoa; Chordata; Mammalia; Rodentia; Sciuridae.